Molecule: ribosomal RNA, 281 nt
Filed under: uncultured prokaryote
Description: partial 16S ribosomal RNA
Rfam family: Bacterial small subunit ribosomal RNA
Source: RNAcentral
UACGUAGGGGGCUAGCGUUAUCCGGAAUUACUGGGCGUAAAGGGUGCGUAGGUGGUUUCUUAAGUCAGAGGUGAAAGGCUACGGCUCAACCGUAGUAAGCCUUUGAAACUGGGAAACUUGAGUGCAGGAGAGGAGAGUGGAAUUCCUAGUGUAGCGGUGAAAUGCGUAGAUAUUAGGAGGAACACCAGUUGCGAAGGCGGCUCUCUGGACUGUAACUGACACUGAGGCACGAAAGCGUGGGGAGCAAACAGGAUUAGAUACCUCCGUAGUCCCUGAGCGGG